UACGAAGGGGGCUAGCGUUGCUCGGAAUUACUGGGCGUAAAGCGCACGUAGGCGGCUUUCUAAGUCGGGGGUGAAAUCCUGGAGCUCAACUCCAGAACUGCCUUCGAUACUGGAGGGCUCGAGUCCGGGAGAGGUGAGUGGAACUGCGAGUGUAGAGGUGAAAUUCGUAGAUAUUCGCAAGAACACCAGUGGCGAAGGCGGCUCACUGGCCCGGUACUGACGCUGAGGUGCGAAAGCGUGGGGAGCAAACAGG
Molecule: ribosomal RNA, 253 nt
Filed under: uncultured bacterium
Lineage: Bacteria
Description: partial 16S ribosomal RNA
Rfam family: Bacterial small subunit ribosomal RNA
Source: RNAcentral